This 120-nucleotide ribosomal RNA is filed under the name uncultured bacterium. RNAcentral's name for it is "partial 16S ribosomal RNA". It matches the Rfam family "Bacterial small subunit ribosomal RNA", at positions 1369 to 1482 of the family's 1533-position model. The record is from RNAcentral.
CGUUCCCGGGCCUUGUACACACCGCCGUCCCCCCCCANACCACGAAAGUCGGCAACACCCGAAGCCAGUGGCCCAACCGUAAGGAGGGAGCUGUCGAAGGUGGGGUCGGUGAUUGGGGUG